This 27-nucleotide non-coding RNA is filed under the name Mus musculus (house mouse). Lineage: Eukaryota; Metazoa; Chordata; Mammalia; Rodentia; Muridae. The record is from RNAcentral.
UCUUGCGGGAAGCUGCAGAUGGCAGGA